Molecule: ribosomal RNA, 406 nt
Filed under: uncultured prokaryote
Description: bacterial SSU rRNA
Rfam family: Bacterial small subunit ribosomal RNA
Source: RNAcentral
UGGGGAAUAUUGGGCAAUGGGGGGAACCCUGACCCAGCAACGCCGCGUGAAGGAAGAAGGUUUUCGGAUUGUAAACUUCUGUCCUUGGUGAAGAGGAAGAGACGGUACCCAAGGAGGAUGCUCCGGCUAACUACGUGCCAGCAGACGCGGUAAUACGUAGGGAGCGAGCGUUGUCCGGAAUUACUGGGCGUAAAGGGUGCGUAGGCGGUAGGCCAAGUCAGAUGUGAAAUCCCCGGGCUUAACUCGGGUGGUGCAUUUGAAACUGGUUUACUUGAGUGCAGGAGAGGAAAGCGGAAUUCCAAGUGUAGCGGUGAAAUGCGUAGAUAUUAGGAGGAACACCAGUGGCGAAGGCGGCUUUCUGGACUGUAACUGACGCUGAGGCACGAAAGCGUGGGGAGCAAACAGG